UGUCUUAUAUUUUAAUUAAAAUUUUAAAUUGCAAAUUUAAAGAUGAAAUAUCAAUUUUCUAAGACUU
Molecule: transfer RNA, 67 nt
Filed under: Nesophrosyne sp. 48 GMB-2012
Lineage: Eukaryota; Metazoa; Arthropoda; Insecta; Hemiptera; Cicadellidae
Description: tRNA-Cys
Source: RNAcentral